This 165-nucleotide ribosomal RNA is filed under the name Gaylussacia baccata. RNAcentral's name for it is "5.8S ribosomal RNA". It matches the Rfam family "5.8S ribosomal RNA". From Rfam's summary of the family: 5.8S ribosomal RNA (5.8S rRNA) is a component of the large subunit of the eukaryotic ribosome. Lineage: Eukaryota; Viridiplantae; Streptophyta; Magnoliopsida; Ericales; Ericaceae. The record is from RNAcentral.
GAACGACUCUCGGCAACGGAUAUCUCGGCUCUUGCAUCGAUGAAGAACGUAGCGAAAUGCGAUACUUGUUGUGAAUUGCAGAAUCCCGUGAACCAUCGAGUCUUUGAACGCAAGUUGCGCCUGAAGCCAUUAGGUUGAAGGCACGUCUGCCUGGGCGUCACGCAU